GUGUCAGCAGCCGCGGUAAUACAGAGGGGGCAAGCGUUAUCCGGAUUUACUGGGCGUAAAGCGCGCUAAGGCGGCUGGUUAAGUUGGGGGUGAAAUUUCAGGGCUCAACCCUGAAACUGCCUCCAAUACUGAUCGGCUAGAGUGUGAGAGAGGAAGGUGGAAUUCCCGGUGUAGUAGUGAAAUGCGUAGAUAUCGGGAGGAACACCAGUGGCGAAGGCGGCCUUCUGGCUCACAACUGACGCUGUAGCGCGAAAGCGUGGGGAGCGAACGGGAUUAGAUACCCUGGUAGUCC
Molecule: ribosomal RNA, 292 nt
Filed under: uncultured bacterium
Lineage: Bacteria
Description: partial 16S ribosomal RNA
Rfam family: Bacterial small subunit ribosomal RNA
Source: RNAcentral